AGAGUUUGAUCAUGGCUCAGAACGAACGCUGGCGGCAGGCCUAACACAUGCAAGUCGAGCGCCCCGCAAGGGGAGCGGCGGACGGGUGAGUAACACGUGGGAACGUACCCUUUGCUACGGAAUAGUCUCGGGAAACUGGGGGUAAUACCGUAUGUGCCCUUCGGGGGAAAGAUUUAUCGGCAAAGGAUCGGCCCGCGUUGGAUUAGGUAGUUGGUGGGGUAAUGGCCUACCAAGCCGACGAUCCAUAGCUGGUUUGAGAGGAUGAUCAGCCACACUGGGACUGAGACACGGCCCAGACUCCUACGGGAGGCAGCAGUGGGGAAUCUUAGACAAUGGGCGCAAGCCUGAUCUAGCCAUGCCGCGUGAGCGAUGAAGGCCUUAGGGUUGUAAAGCUCUUUCAGUGGGGAAGAUAAUGACUGUACCCACAGAAGAAGCCCCGGCUAACUCCGUGCCAGCAGCCGCGGUAAUACGGAGGGGGCUAGCGUUGUUCGGAAUUACUGGGCGUAAAGCGCACGUAGGCGGACCAGAAAGUAGGGGGUGAAAUCCCGGGGCUCAACCUCGGAACUGCCUUCUAAACUCCUGGUCUUGAGGUCGAGAGAGGUGAGUGGAAUUCCGAGUGUAGAGGUGAAAUUCGUAGAUAUUCGGAGGAACACCAGUGGCGAAGGCGGCUCACUGGCUCGAUACUGACGCUGAGGUG
This 697-nucleotide ribosomal RNA is filed under the name uncultured bacterium. Its description in RNAcentral is "bacterial SSU rRNA". It matches the Rfam family "Bacterial small subunit ribosomal RNA", at positions 8 to 753 of the family's 1533-position model. The record is from RNAcentral.